GAUGAACGCUGGCGGCGUGCCUAAUACAUGCAAGUCGAGCGAACAGAUGAGGAGCUUGCUCCUCUGACGUUAGCGGCGGACGGGUGAGUAACACGUGGAUAACCUACCUAUAAGACUGGGAUAACUUCGGGAAACCGGAGCUAAUACCGGAUAAUAUAUUGAACCGCAUGGUUCAAUAGUGAAGGACGGUUUUGCUGUCACUUAUAGAUGGAUCCGCGCCGCAUUAGCUAGUUGGUAAGGUAACGGCUUACCAAGGCAACGAUGCGUAGCCGACCUGAGAGGGUGAUCGGCCACACUGGAACUGAGACACGGCCCAGACUCCUACGGGAGGCAGCAGUAGGGAAUCUUCCGCAAUGGGCGAAAGCCUGACGGAGCAACGCCGCGUGAGUGAUGAAGGUCUUCGGAUCGUAAAACUCUGUUAUUAGGGAAGAACAAAUGUGUAAGUAACUAUGCACGUCUUGACGGUACCUAAUCAGAAAGCCACGGCUAACUACGUG
Molecule: ribosomal RNA, 497 nt
Filed under: uncultured bacterium
Lineage: Bacteria
Description: partial 16S ribosomal RNA
Rfam family: Bacterial small subunit ribosomal RNA
Source: RNAcentral